UACGUAGGGACCGAGCGUUGUCCGGAAUCAUUGGGCGUAAAGAGCGUGUAGGCGGCUUGCUAAGUCUUGCGUGAAAUCUCGGGGCUCAACCCCGAGCGGUCGUGGGAAACUGGCAGGCUAGAGUGCGGGAGAGGAGAAUGGAAUUCCUGGUGUAGCGGUGAAAUGCGCAGAUAUCAGGAGGAACACCGGUGGCGAAGGCGGGUCUCUGGGCCGAUACUGACGCUGAGGAGCGAAAGCGUGGGGAGCGAACAGG
This 253-nucleotide ribosomal RNA is filed under the name uncultured bacterium. RNAcentral's name for it is "partial 16S ribosomal RNA". It matches the Rfam family "Bacterial small subunit ribosomal RNA", at positions 524 to 776 of the family's 1533-position model. The record is from RNAcentral.